This 1740-nucleotide long non-coding RNA is filed under the name Gossypium barbadense (sea-island cotton). RNAcentral's name for it is "long non-coding RNA (GBAR_LNC009933)". Lineage: Eukaryota; Viridiplantae; Streptophyta; Magnoliopsida; Malvales; Malvaceae. The record is from RNAcentral.
UUUUUUCCAGAGUUAACCCCAUAAUAUCAGACUAUGUUUUUUUUUUUUUUUGUGCGCGUCUUUGAUCUUUAAAAGUUUCUUUCAUGUCGCAGGUUGGUGUUCUUAUUGAGGAGCCAUUUCCAAUGUUAGCCCUUGAUGAGCUCUGCAUCGUAACACAGAACAAUAUAAGAGAAGCGAUAGCAACAGAGAAGGAUAUUCAAGCGAUGUUAAAGGGGAAAAGAAAGAGGCAUUCUUACAAACGUUCACCUAAUGGUUGCCCCAACACAUAGUGUAAACAGGGUAAUUGCCGAAGGCUGUGCUUAUUGUGAAAUGUUUUUCACAUUGGUCUUUGCCUUUUGCUAUCUGGAAUUUAGAUGUACAAAAGUACAGUUAAAUGAUUCAUAAAGAAAUGAUAAUCAUAGAAUAUCUAUGUAUAUUGUACACAAUUUUCUGAUAAAUAGAAAAUAAAUUAGCUUCAUAUUGACAUACUGUUUUCUUCUGCAACUUGUAGAGAAUGGUUCUAGAAUUCCGGCAAUUUCUUAUGGACCAAGAUAUCACAUGCCAGCUUCCAAGUGCUAGUUUCUAAACAUGUAACCAACUAAUUGAUGCCUAAUGAUAUGCAUUAACUAUCCCCAAGUUGUGGGUUUCUUCUCUUUCUCUUUCCCCAUGGUUGAAUUCUAUGGAAAUGCUUGAUGAAAAUUUUCUUGGAUUCUCAAAUAUACUUUUUAUCAUGUGCAAUGACAUUUUCAUUUUGAUUUUUACAAAAACACGAAGUGGCAAAUCAGGAAAGUAAACCAAGAGAAGUCACAUUUUGCCUGGUUCAGGGUAUAUGUAUGAAGAGAGAGCUGGCAUUGAAUACAUCCUCAUGUGCCCAUUUGUCUGCAACUUUUUCAGCUGUUUCCUGCCUAUAUAUAAUGGCGUUAUUUUAGAAGUAUUUCAAGCUGGAAGAUGUAGUUUUCUACAGCUUGUGGAGAUAUUGUUCAUGCCUCUGCAAAAGUUUAAAAUAUUUAGCUCAUUGCAGGAUCCAAUGGCAAUGAUCCCAACACUAAGUAAACAUAAUCCAAAUGCAGACUAGUGUAUGCUGAAUUACGAGAAAAAAAUAUUUUGGAGUGGAAAUUUAUCAAUGAUCUACUAAUAUGGACCACCCUCCUUAUCCCUGAACAACUUUCUGAUGUCAUGUGUCUGUUCCAAAAGAAAAUCCUUAUAAUUUGAUAAAUAAAUAAAUAAAAGUAGAACCUAGGGUUAUAUAGUCUUUCAAAAAGAUUGAAUUUACCGUUUGAGGAGCAGAUGGCCUGAAACUUUGCGUCGUGAUAGCAGAAGUGAUAGCCCGAGUUGUCGAAACUUGAAAGGAUCGAAAGAGUAAAAGAACUUGAGCUUGAGAAGUAGUGGUUUCCACUCUAUGAAUUUUUCUGUAUGGUUACUAAGAAAAAAAAAAAAAAGAUGAUGACUUUGACUUCCUUUCCUUUUCUCCUGUCUUGAUUUUGGUUCUUCAGGCAACUUUGCAUCUAAAAUUUUAUUCUGGCGGGUAGGAAUGAUAGAAAAACGGCGUAAUAUAGGCUUUAACUUUCGUAAGUGAACCAAGACUAAUACGACGUCACUUUUCAUAAAAUUGUCACAUUUUAAUUUUCGAGAAGAGAAAUCAGAACAGAGAGGAAAAAAGAAUACCUCUAAAAUUGACAAGACUUCCGUCUAAGCUCGAUUCGAGUUCUCAAAUUUCAAAACCCUAACGUCCUUCCAGAAGAAAAACAAAACAAGCAAUUU